UGCAACCUGAGCUCAGUCGUGAUACCCGCUGA
RNAcentral lists this ribosomal RNA (32 nucleotides) under Cloacina setonicis. RNAcentral describes it as "partial 28S ribosomal RNA". Lineage: Eukaryota; Metazoa; Nematoda; Chromadorea; Rhabditida; Strongylidae. The record is from RNAcentral.